RNAcentral lists this ribosomal RNA (567 nucleotides) under uncultured archaeon. RNAcentral's name for it is "bacterial SSU rRNA". It matches the Rfam family "Archaeal small subunit ribosomal RNA", at positions 326 to 897 of the family's 1478-position model. The record is from RNAcentral.
CGGGGUGCACCAGGCGCGAAAACUCUACAAUGCAGGCAACUGCGAUAGGGGAACAUCGAGUGAUCCUCAUAUUGGGGGUCUGUCCACCCGUCUAAAAAACGGGUGUUAGCAAGGGCCGGGCAAGACCGGUGCCAGCCGCCGCGGUAAUACCGGCGGCUCGAGUGGUGGCCGAUAUUAUUGAGUCUGAAGGGUCCGUAGCCGGCUUUGCAAGUCUCUCGGGAAAUCCAGCGGCUUAACCGUUGGUCGUCCGGGGGGUACUACAUUGCUUGGGACUGGGAGAGGUAGGAGGUACUCAGGGGGUAGGAGUGAAAUCCUGUAAUCCUUUGGGGACCACCGGUGGCGAAGGCGUCCUACCAGAACAGGUCCGACGGUGAGGGACGAAAGCUAGGGGCACGAACCGGAUUAGAUACCCGGGUAGUCCUAGCCGUAAACGAUGUUCGCUAGGUGUCACAACAGUCGUGAAUUGUUGUGGUGCCGUAGGGAAGCCGUGAAGCGAGCCACUUGGGAAGUACGACCGUAAGGUUGAAACUUAAAGGAAUUGGCGGGGGAGCACAAGGGCGAUUCGCG